UUUCCGUCGGUGAACCUACGGAAGGAUCAAUGAAGAGUUCUUUGUUAAACUAUUGUGAAGUUGUACUCAUACCCAUCAAGAACUAGGUACUUGGGUUGUCUGCAUUUGCAUUGUUUAGAUUUGUUUCCUUUGCUGCCUUCAGUUCACUUCAUUUGAAAUAAGAAGUAAAGUAAAAAUAAUAGACAACACGGUUUGUGCCAAGGAUAGUCAUUGUUGAACUGCAUUGGCAUCUUUUUGAUAUGCUUUGUGUUAUUCCACAAGCUUGAAUGACUUUUGGCAACGUAUAUCCUAGCUCCC
This 297-nucleotide unclassified non-coding RNA is filed under the name root metagenome. Its description in RNAcentral is "partial internal transcribed spacer 1". The record is from RNAcentral.